GAUGAAGAACGUAGUGAAAUGCGAUAAGUAAUGUGAAUUGCAGAAUUCAGUGAAUCAUCGAAUCUUUGAACGCACAUUGCGCCCGCCAGUAUUCUGGCGGGCAUGCCUGUUCGAGCGUCAUUUCAACCAUCAAGCCCCAGGCUUGUGUUGGGGACCUGCGGCUGCCGCAGGCCCUGAAAACCAGUGGCGGGCUCGCUAGUCACUCCGAGCGUAGUAAUACAUCUCGCUCAGGGCGUGCUGCGGGUUCCGGCCGUUAAAAAGCCUUAUUUACCCAAGGUUGACCUCGGAUCAGGUAGGAAGACCCGCUGAACUUAAGCAUAUCAAUAAGCGGAGGA
RNAcentral lists this unclassified non-coding RNA (335 nucleotides) under soil metagenome. RNAcentral describes it as "partial contains 5.8S ribosomal RNA, internal transcribed spacer 2, and large subunit ribosomal RNA". The stretch from base 1 to 120 matches the Rfam family "5.8S ribosomal RNA", at positions 35 to 154 of the family's 154-position model. The record is from RNAcentral.